UACAGAGGGUGCGAACGUUGUCCGGAAUCACUGGGCGUAAAGGGCGCGUAGGUGGCUUGAUAAGUAGGGGGUGAAAUCUCGCGGCUCAACUGCGAGGCUGCCUCCUAAACUGUCGGGCUUGAGCAGAGUAGAGGCAGGUGGAAUUCCCGGUGUAGCGGUGGAAUGCGUAGAGAUCGGGAAGAACAUCGGUGGCGAAGGCGGCCUGCUGGGCUCUUGCUGACACUGAGGCGCGACAGCGUGGGGAGCGAACAGG
This 253-nucleotide ribosomal RNA is filed under the name uncultured bacterium. Its description in RNAcentral is "partial 16S ribosomal RNA". It matches the Rfam family "Bacterial small subunit ribosomal RNA", at positions 524 to 776 of the family's 1533-position model. The record is from RNAcentral.